UUCUCAUCAUUAGACAUGUUUUAUCUUUCUUUCAAAAGACACUAAAUGCUGCUAUUUCACUCUUCUGUAUUUUAACAGUUCAUUUUAUGUGGCGAAAGCAGCUCAUCCACAGUCCACUGACCAAAGACAUCCUCUCUUCGGCCAUGUACCAGCCAAAUGCCGCCUUAAGUCCAGGAAAAGUUUUCUGAAAAGUGUCCCACCCCUCAGAACGCCGAACACAGGCAGUGAAAGAGUCACUCGGCGGGAAGAAAGACUUGACAAUCUUCCACCAGAAACUACAAUGGAGCUUAAAGCAAGCGAGGCAAUGACCCCAGGAGCAGACACCAACUAUGUAUGCAACGUGGAAAUGCCUAAAUAGACUAAGAUCUGGUGUUGGACGUGCAAAAGUCACUCUCACCAAAUGGGGACAUCUGGAGGAUCGGAACAGCGAGUGUGACUGUGGCACUGAACCACAGACCAUGCAACACCUCCUCAUGUGCCCCUGCUGGAACAUCCCUGCACAGCAUCGAAUUUAGCAGAGUUUAACGAGAAGGGACAGAAAUGUGUUCAGCUGUGGCUCAACCACAUCUAGCCAAGCCUGUAACUAACUGCCUUGUAGCCACGAUAAGAAGAAGCUCAUCCCAGAAUCGAGGCCAGAGGUAGCCAUGACAUAUUACUUUAUUGUAAUAGGGCAACAGUUUCAAGAACACCUGUACAAGGGAGGCCUGCAUCAUGGAACACAAACUCCCAAACACACAUGACUUCUCCUGCUUCUUCUCACAGCGAGAGCCACGCAUUUCAAGAAGACUUGUACAAGGGAGGCCUGCAUCAUGGAACACAAACUCCCAAACACACAUGACUUCUCCUGAUUCUUCUCACAGCGAGAGCCACGCAUUUCAAGAAGACUUGUACAAGGGAGGCCUGCAUCAUGGAACACAAACUCCCAAACACACAUGACUUCUCCUGCUUCAUCUUAUGUUCCUGGGUCUUGCCUGUGGUUCUACAUGCAUCCAGUCAUGCAGACAGAGAACACUUUAGCCUUUAACUAUCGGAAGCUGUCCCUCUGCGAGGCCUCAUAGUAUAGUCUGUUUUCUGUUCUCAUUCAUUCAUUCAUUCAUUCAUUUAUUUAUUUAUUUAUUUAUUUAUUUAUUUAUUGAUUGAUUGAUUGAUUGAUUUAUUGGCCUUUCUAUAUUUCUUUGCCUUAAAUUUUGUUUAUUAAGUUUUGUGUUUCCAAUAUGUGCAUGUUCAUUUCAUCACAUACAAGUCCAGUCCAAUGUAUACGUUCAUGUUUGUCAUUUUGUAUGUUCAGUAUUUAUUGAGUCAGUUAGUCAGUUUAUCUAUUUUUUUUAUUAUUUAUAAGAUUUCACGCAUUAUAUAUUCCAUUCUGCCCAAAACAACUAAUAUCAUGCUGUAUUUUGGUUCCAAAAAGCACCAUGCAACUGUUUUUUUUCCUUCUUGUUUAGAAGGAAAAGUGUAAAGUGUAUGUUGACAACUUAUGUUGUGAUUUGUCGUAUAAAAUACCCUGUUUUGAAUGACAUU
This is a long non-coding RNA of Syngnathus typhle (broad-nosed pipefish), 1518 nucleotides long. RefSeq lists it as uncharacterized. The transcript is spliced from 5 exons. The record is from RefSeq and is a predicted model, not a curated record. NCBI's taxonomy places the organism in Eukaryota, Metazoa, Chordata, Actinopteri, Syngnathiformes, Syngnathidae.